RNAcentral lists this non-coding RNA (246 nucleotides) under Acetivibrio thermocellus. RNAcentral describes it as "Clostridium thermocellum T-box sequence". It matches the Rfam family "T-box leader". Rfam says of the family: Uncharged tRNA acts as the effector for transcription antitermination of genes in the T-box leader family. Lineage: Bacteria; Bacillati; Bacillota; Clostridia; Acetivibrionales; Acetivibrionaceae. The record is from RNAcentral.
ACAAAAGCGAUGAGUAGAACGAGUAGAAGGUGAAGCUUUUGAAGAGAGCAGGUGGUCGGUGCGAAUCCUGUAAAGCCAGCCUUUGAAAAUCAUCUACGAGUUGCCGGCUGAAAGGGGUCAAAGCUUUCCGAGUAAGCUUGGCCGGUGAUGAGCCGUUAAUCAAAUUGAGUGAUUAUGAAUAUAUAUAUGAAUAUAUAUUCAUAAUAAAUUUGGGUGGUACCGCGUGAGAAUACUCUCGUCCCUUUU